RNAcentral lists this long non-coding RNA (1412 nucleotides) under Pongo abelii (Sumatran orangutan). Its description in RNAcentral is "lncRNA (ENSPPYG00000034756.1)". Lineage: Eukaryota; Metazoa; Chordata; Mammalia; Primates; Hominidae. The record is from RNAcentral.
AUUUACAAGUGGAAACACAUUGGUUCUGAUCACUCCUAACUUGCUGGGUGAUCAUACAUACAUCAACGUGAAGGUGUGACAUCAGAAUCAUGAGCACCAUGGCUGCAGUUGUGUGAUCCAAGGCUAGUUGGCUUGGUAGCUGUUGGCAGCAGUUUCCCUUGGUCGGAAGCCUCCUUGCUAUCUAUUGCUGCUCUCUUCUUCUUGUCAUCCUUAAACAUUCAGUCAUGUUCCCAGGUCUGAGGGGAGAAAUGGCCAGACCAGUUUCAUUACCUCUGGCAACAGAAACAAGGAUUGAAAUGGUGGUAGUUAAAAGUGCAGACACAUCUGAGGUGCAACGUCUGCAUCAUCCUGGUGGCUAGCCAGUGCUGGGAGGCCCUGCCCUGGGAUACCAGUUGUGACAAUAAAGGGAUGGCCCUCCUGGCUUCGGCGUCCUGCAGGUAGAGCAGCCGCAUUCCUUCACAAGAUGGAAGGCAGGUGGGGAUGUCAGGAUGAGAUGGGACCAGGUAGCCGAGGACAGUGAGGCGUGACUGAGCCACUUGAGGGGCAGCUGAACAGAAGGAUGUCUGUGUGCGUCAACCGAGCAGAUUGUGUGCCCACUCAUUUCCGAACUACCUCUCCCCAAAGAAUGUGAGGCAUUGUCACCUUGUUACAGCUAUGUGAAGCAGAGCUCUCGCAACUCUUCCUGUCUACAGGCAGGAAAACCAGGAUGGAGAAGGGCGACUUGCUUAUUAGGAUCACCCAUCAAGUCAGGAGUGAUCAGAACCAGUGAAGUUUCCAUUUUUCAUCCAUUGCUGCCCUUUGUGUGAACAAAUGUGACUCCAUAUUUAUUACACAGCAAGGACUGCUGUGCGUGGGUGUUCCUCAGACCAUCUCUACUCUUUGGUUAGGACACUAGGUUCUUCCAGCAUAUGAGUGAGAAUAUCGGUGGUAUUUUGGGCUCCUCUACUGCACAAGGGCCAGUCCCCGAGUCUACUCUGAUUGUCAUGGGCACCCACACAGAUCAGGACACCCUUUGAAUUUUUGUUUGACAUGAACUAUUUAGGUGUUCCAAAACCUUGGGAUCUCAAUGUGCAAACUCCUUGGACUCCAGACCCCUGUCUGGUUGGCACUCCCAGCAGCGUGUGGUUUCAUCAGGAAAUCCUUGCAGCAGGGGUUUAGAUGGUUCCUUCAGGAGGUGGGAAGCCUCCAUAGCAUCGAAGGCCAGCCUGCAUCUCGCGGUGUGUGUCCACUUCUCCCCUCACUUUCCCCUCGCCCAUCCCUUUAAAGUGAUUGGCUGUGAGGAGCACAGAGGGUGGCAAUUCCAUCUGUUAUGGGCUCAGAAGACAUAGCCGCCAUGUUGAUUUCACAUUAAACUGUGUAAAAUGUGGAAAAGACUCAGCAUGUUGGUCAAACAAUAAACUGUCCUAAUUCUC